UCGAGAAAAAGAAUGAAAUAGGUACUAAAGCACGUAGUGUACAAAAUAAUGAAUAUUUUUUUAUCCGAAAAUGAAAGCAGCGCCUUCCGAAGAAACAAAGCGGCGAAGGCGACAGCGAAGACGAUUUUACAUCGGAAUGAAGUAUUGAAGAAAAAUGUACAUGAAAGUUUCUAAUGAGAGUAUGAGGAUCUAAAUAAAAAUGACAAAAUAACAGGAAAAUAGGAAAAUUAUAUUUAUCACUCCCCAGACCCACUCAUUAUUCUACAUUAUGUUAUUUUCUACAAUAAAUUCUCCAACCUAA
Long non-coding RNA from Octopus sinensis (East Asian common octopus), 301 nucleotides. RefSeq lists it as uncharacterized. The record is from RefSeq and is a predicted model, not a curated record. The transcript is spliced from 2 exons. NCBI's taxonomy places the organism in Eukaryota, Metazoa, Mollusca, Cephalopoda, Octopoda, Octopodidae.